UGGGGAUUUUUGGGGUUUUGGUUUCGUUUUGUGUGGUUCAUAAAGGUUUAUUUCCAAACAUUUUUGAAACAAAAUCACACUUAAGAAUUGGUAUAAGUAUGUCACUCUUUUUAAAAAUUUUUUGAUCCAAAAUUCAUUUUUGUGUCUUGGGAGAUAAUCUGCUCAGCGUUCAAAGCAUAAACUUCGCAUUUGGGGCGCGUUUUACCCCCUCGGUUGGCUUCUUGCUCUGCUCCUGUAGGCAGUGGCUCUGACCUCUCCCCUUCUCCCACCCUAGGAUCUUUUUUCAUUCAGUGGGAGGUGGCUGUGAUCACCCUGAGAUUUGUUGUUUUUAAAUCCGCAGAUCUUUAUGCUCUGGGCUUUGGAGGGGUUUCUCCUCUGUCCUCCGCCUUUCUCUCUUAGGCCUCUUCCUUUCUCUGUGGCCUGCGCUUGUAACUCCUAAUGACCGCGUUGCUUGAUUUCUCCUUGUGGACACUGAGGUUUCAUGGCCCUGGCUCUGCACCCAGUGGACACAGUGUUUCGGAUGCCUGCCCAGGACCUCGCGGGCCUGACUGGUGUGGAAUCGCAGUGCCAAGGAAGCAUAGACGCCCUGCCAAGGAAGGCCCAGCACAUCCCCAGCUCCACAGCUCCCAGGGUCAUUUCGACCUUGGGGAAGAGCCAGAAGGAAAUCACAGCGCCGGACUCAGUGCAGUACUAAGCGGUGAGGAACGCACUCUGGUGGCUUUAGGAGCCACCUUUCUGGUGGGCAGUGCUCAAAGCAGCUUUUACCAUCUUCUCAGCCACACCUGCGGGGUGUUCAAAGCCGGGGGAGGCUUCUGGGGGAUUCGUGGCAGUGUCUGA
This 837-nucleotide long non-coding RNA is filed under the name Fukomys damarensis (Damara mole-rat). Its description in RNAcentral is "lncRNA (ENSFDAG00000027222.1)". The record is from RNAcentral. Lineage: Eukaryota; Metazoa; Chordata; Mammalia; Rodentia; Bathyergidae.